ACUACAAGAUGUCGUUGUGAGUUUAAUAUGAAUUACACUAACGUUGUGAAAUCCCCCCUUUUGGUGUGGAUCAAUAUUACAUUAAUCGAUAAUGGGUUUGUUUCACGGCUAAGUGAAACAAUUUAUAUUACACCAUUUUGCAUGAGGUUUUCCACGCUCAAGUAAUAGAUUUUAAGGAUAAAUCUCAAUAAUGAUUGAUGUUAUUUGUGGAAAUUUGGUCUGUUUAUCCUUGGCCCAUUUAUCAGCGACACAACAUAAAUCCAAACUUAACCCUUAUAAAUAGAAUUUUGAAUUUCAUCAAACAUAAAUUUUACACUUCAUGUUGGUACUAUGACUUUAUCCAAAUUCACUCAGUAAACAAAGUGUUGAAUAUGGCGUACGAAAGUUCGUAGCUGUCAUUAAUUUUAUUUCAAACUUCAACAAAUUAUAGCGAGAUGAAUGUAUGAUCGAUUAGAUGUUGAAUCGACGGAGUACGAUAAUUAAAGAGGAAGAUUUCAGUCGCCUUCGCAUUCACAACAGCUCGGAAGAUUGGGGUGUUACACUCUUGCAUGUACGAGGAGUUGCUGACCACUACACCACCGAGGAAACAAUCUGUGUGGGAUUGUUAUGGGGUCCAGACAACUGGCCCUUCGAGGGGGGGGGGAUCUGAAGGAUAGGAGGUCACUGUUCGGGAGGUAGUCAUCACCGUCGGUUCUUGGAAUUCCCUCACAAGUUUGUGGAUAUCAGGAUAAAACGUCAGCACGACCGGAUUUAAACUGAUUAUGCGUUCAUGUGUAUCAAGCAAAAAACUGUUAUGGAUAGCCAUUUUGUCCGUCAGGUUUGGGUCACGUGUCGAUAAUUGUCUGUUAGGUUCUGAAUGUGGAACUAGGAUUAAAGGUUGGGUGCAGAGUGCCCUCGGUUUAAUGGUAUAUGUUUAUUCUACCUGUGUAUGAUUGACGACCACCGAGUGUGUUGUGGAUGCGAAAGUGUUUGCUUCAUCGUGAAAAUUUCUGUCCACCAA
Long non-coding RNA from Chrysoperla carnea, 1000 nucleotides. RefSeq lists it as uncharacterized. The transcript has 4 exons. Lineage: Eukaryota; Metazoa; Arthropoda; Insecta; Neuroptera; Chrysopidae. The record is from RefSeq and is a predicted model, not a curated record.